Long non-coding RNA from Chelonia mydas (Green sea turtle), 3319 nucleotides. RefSeq lists it as uncharacterized. The record is from RefSeq and is a predicted model, not a curated record. NCBI's taxonomy places the organism in Eukaryota, Metazoa, Chordata, Testudines, Cheloniidae. The transcript is spliced from 5 exons.
GGCUCUGUACCCGCCUGCCUUCCCGGGGGCUCCGACUCCACGUGCCUAGCCCCUCCUUCGAGCCUCUGGGCUCGGCGGGGUUAGCUGGCUGUGGCCGGUAACUUGCAGCUGCCUAGCAAAGUGGGGAUUGUUUCUGCAUGUCAAUCCACUGGCCUUGCACCAACAGGAGACAGGGUGGUUGGUGCCGUGGGCUGCACUGUGGUGUUCCCUGGACAAGAUCACAUUGACACCACUGGGGUUGUAUGGUGGGAGUAUAAACAAAAUGAAAAUAUCACUGAACUGUCCGUCGUACUUUAUUAUGUGGAAUCAUGGAAACUGGACAUCUUACCAGCGUAUAAGGAUCGUAUUGUAUUUAACAUGUCCAACUGGUCCCUGGGACUGAAAUUGCAACUAGCAGAUCGAGGCCUGUACAGAUUAAGGAGAGAAGAGGAGGACAAGAGUGGCAAAUGGAUCCAGUUGGAGGUUAUAGAGCCCUUAUCCAAGCCGGAACUCUUUAGGAACUCUUCCUUGGCGGGCUGCACCAUUGAAAUGGUCUGUAAUGUGACAGUAGGUAGGUGGAUUCCUAUCUGUGGAGUAAGGACCAUAAGCCUCUCACUGGGACUGAUCACUACCAACUCUCUCGGAAAACAAUGUACUUCUCAUACUGAAUGCAACACAGGCUGAUAGUGGCUGUUAUUCCUGCAAAGUUACCAGUGAAGUUAUUGAGAAUGAAACCUCCCUGGAAUUGGCCAUCAGUGAUUCUUCAGCUGUGGUUUCAGACGGAGUCAUUUUCGGAGUUGCUGUCAGAACUGCUGUCAUAAGUCUAGUAAUGGCAGAUGGGGACUUACACAGUGAAUAAAAACUCUGCCGUGCCUUCAUCUGGAUGAAGAAACAAUCCCAAUUUUAAAAAGAGACAUAAUGGAACAGAAAGUGAAUUAUACAGUUUGCGUCUGCCCAGCAACAACCACUUCAUCAGGCUUAAGACAGUCAUCAGACCUCUUACAAAUCAUAAAUUACAAAUCAGUGUUCUCUGUCAGAAAAUGCAUCUGAAACCGUCCAUCUUUUGGGUUUUGGUUCUUUGACACAAAGUUGCCAAUUGCCCAUCCAUGAACAAUACCAGCACUCAGAACUAUUUUUUAGAAAAUGCCUGCCCAGCAAAGGGGAGAGAGAGAGCUGCAGUUGCACAACAGCAUCUGAAAAUUAUAACUUAGCAUUUCAAGUUAUGUAGAAACAGAUUGAGUCUACGUUUAAACAAACAAGCAACAAAAUGCACAAAACAAUAGACCUAUAAGGGAGAGUGUUUAAAGGACAGGUUGUUUCCUAUAGAGCAAGGGUGUCAAACUCAUACUGGGGAGAGGGCUAAAGUCUAUUUGUAGUUGUGGUCUAUGAAGCAGGGUAUAAAUACAGAUCUCUAUGCAGUACAUCUCUGGAUCCAUAGUAGGAACUUCCCUUAUAUUAAUAGUAAGUCUGCCUAAAGGUCAAAGAUAAAUAUGGCUCUUAGUAAAUGCCAGUGUCUUAUUAUUGAAUUCACUCCGUAGAAAAAUAUGCUAAUUUUUCAAACCAUGGCUAUUUUUGCUUUUGUUCCUCCUCAUUCUCUGUCCUCCUUUUCCUGUCUUUAUGGCUUGUUUACAUGGAAAAAUUGACCAGAAUAAUUAUUGUAGGAUAAACUUUUCUACAAUAGCUCCUCAUGUGGGCACUACUCUGGAAUUCAUUAUGGAAUAAUUAGUGCAAUUUGAGCAUGUAAAUCAUGUUAUUCCAGAAUAAUUAUAUCCUGGAAUAGUGUCUACCUCGGGAGCUAUUCUGGUUUGUUUCCUUAAGCCUCUCCUUUCCUUCCUGUAGCAUCUCCCAAUUUCCCUCUUGUGGGCUUGACUCCCAAUUCUUUCACCAUCCAAUCUGUUAAACUGAGCAGUGAUGAAAUAGUUGUCAAUGAAAUGCUAUAACACCGACAGAAGCAGUGUGUGUGCCCACUGUAACUCAAGCAUGUCUCUCUCACCACCAGAAGUUGGUCUAAUAAAAGAUAUUACCUCAACUGCAAGGCUAACAACUCAGGCCAAAGGGGCAACAAUCUAUAUGUACUAAUCAUUUGUACCAUUAACAAUUUUUAAAAUGUAUUUGUAAUAAAAAUCUAGUAACUAAAAUGGCACCAUUAGGCUUGUUGACUUCUUUCCCCUGGGGUCUUUGAGUGGUAGUUUUUGGAGGCCUUACAACAGGCAAUGGUACAGGCUUUUCUGUGUCUAUGGUGUACUCUAAAAUACUUAGCGCUCUCUGAAACACACACAUACACACACACACACACUCUUAAACCCUUUCACUACCUAAUUGCAGGAGCAAACUACACUUGCACCAACAAAUUAGAGAGUUGGGCUUCUACAUUCUUGCACCUGCAUCUGCAGACACAAAAUUAGAGGCCAGGUUGAUGGCUCUCUCAAAAUGUCAUCCUAAGUAUUUUUGGGGGAGGGGGGAGGAGUCAGUGUUGUGAAGAGCUGAUCAAAGUAUUUGCUACGAAUUAGGGCUAUCAAGGUUAAUCAUGCUGUUAAACUCUAAUAGAAUACUGUGACAGUGCCCCCCAUAAGGCUUUAUGGAAAUAUGUUUAUGAAUGUAUAUAUGACAUAACUGGAAUAUGUUUUAUGCUACAUAGGCCAUGUAACAUAUCUCUGUAAAGGUUAUGGUCUGCUGAAUCUAUUCAUCCUAUUUGUAUACAUAUAUCAUUUUUGUAUUCAAAGUUAUGAAUAUUGGCUGUAUACUUGUCUGAUUCUAAGUAGGUUUUAGUGAAGCAGUUGGUCAGCUUCCUGAGAAAAGACUAUUCUCAGUAAGUGCCCAGCCAAGAAGCCCUUAAGCCAACAAUGAACUUGGAGAUGCCAAUCCACAUCUGAGCUUUCCCAGGAAGGUGGCUUGGCUGGUAAGGAACUCAGUCAUGCAUGGACAUGUGACUUGCCCAGGUGACUCCAAAACUCCAUUUUGUAGCUGGGCUUUUGCAUAGGAGAGAAGAGGGGGUCUCCACCCACAAGAGAAAGUCUAUUUAAAACGCUGGGAGACCCCUCCUUUUUGUCUUCAGCUGGCUAAUGAGAUAGCCUCUCCACCCCCAAGGAUACCUGAAACAAACUGAAACAAAGGACAGUAACUCCAGAGGGUGUGAGUGCUUGCUGGGACCCAGACUAGAAGGAGACUAGUCUGUAAAAGGAAGCUUACUGGAACUGGUGAGGUUUUAUCUUAUAUUAGACAUAGACUUGCAUGUUUUAUUUUAUUUUGCUUGGUAAUUCACUUUGUUCUGUCUGUUACUACUUGGAACCACUUAAAUUCUACUUUCUGUAUUUAAUAAAAUCACUUUUUACUUAUUAAU